GAUGAACGCUGGCGGCGUGCCUAAUACAUGCAAGUCGAGCGAACAGAUGAGGAGCUUGCUCCUCUGACGUUAGCGGCGGACGGGUGAGUAACACGUGGAUAACCUACCUAUAAGACUGGGAUAACUUCGGGAAACCGGAGCUAAUACCGGAUAAUAUAUUGAACCGCAUGGUUCAAUAGUGAAAGACGGUUUUGCUGUCACUUAUAGAUGGAUCCGCGCCGCAUUAGCUAGUUGGUAAGGUAACGGCUUACCAAGGCAACGAUGCGUAGCCGACCUGAGAGGGUGAUCGGCCACACUGGAACUGAGACACGGUCCAGACUCCUACGGGAGGCAGCAGGAGGGAAACUUCCGCAAUGGGGGAAAGCCUGACGGAGCAACGCCGCGGGAGUGAUGAAGGUCUUCGGAUCGUAAAACUCUGUUAAUAGGGAAGAACAAAUGGGGAAGUAACUAGGCACGUCUUGACGGUACCUAAUCAGAAAGCCACGGCUAACUACGUG
This 497-nucleotide ribosomal RNA is filed under the name uncultured bacterium. RNAcentral's name for it is "partial 16S ribosomal RNA". It matches the Rfam family "Bacterial small subunit ribosomal RNA", at positions 28 to 507 of the family's 1533-position model. The record is from RNAcentral.